GAGUUUGAUCAUGGCUCAGAACGUACGCUGGCGGCACGCCUAACACAUGCAAGUCGAACGAAGUAGCAAUACUUAGUGGCAGACGGGUGAGUAACAUGUAGGUAUCUACCCUUUGGCCUGGAAUAACACGAGGAAACUUGUGCUAAUACCGGAUAAGUCUUUACGGAGAAAGCUUUAUGCACCAAUGGAUGAGCCUGCACUUGAUUAGUUUGUUGGUAGGGUAAUGGCCUACCAAGACUGUGAUCGAUAGCUGAUUUGAGAGGAUGAUCAGCCACAUUGGGACUGAGACACGGCCCAAACUCCUACGGGAGGCAGCAGUGGGGAAUCUUGCACAAUGGAGGAAACUCUGAUGCAGCGAUGCCGCGUGAGUGAAGAAGGCCCUUGGGUUGUAAAGCUCUUUCGUCGGGGAAGAAAAUGACUGUACCCGAAUAAGAAGGUCCGGCUAACUUCGUGCCAGCAGCCGCGGUAAUACGAAGGGACCUAGCGUAGUUCGGAAUUACUGGGCUUAAAGAGUUCGUAGGUGGUUGAAAAAGUUGGUGGUGAAAUCCCAGAGCUUAACUCUGGAACUGCCAUCAAAACUUUUCAGCUAGAGUUUGAUAGAGGAAAGCAGAAUCUCUAGUGUAGAGGCGAAAUUCGUAGAUAUUAGAAAGAAUACCAAUUGCGAAGGCAGCUUUCUGGAUCAUUACUGACACUGAGGAACGAAAGCAUGGGUAGCGAAGAGGAUUAGAUACCCUCGUAGUCCAUGCCGUAAACGAUGUGUGUUAGACGUUGGAAAUUUAUUUUCAGUGUCGCAGCGAAAGCGAUAAACACACCGCCUGGGGAGUACGACCGCAAGGUUAAAACUCAAAUGAAUUGACGGGGACCCGCACAAGUAGUGGAGCAUGUGGUUUAAUUCGAAGAUACGCGCAGAACCUUACCAACACUUGACAUGUUCGUCGCGACUUUAAGAGAUUAAAGUUUUCGGUUCGGCCGGACGAAACACAGGUGCUGCAUGGCUGUCGUCAGCUCGUGUCGUGAGAUGUUGGGUUAAGUCCCGCAACGAGCGCAACCCUCACUUUUAGUUGCCAUCAUUUAGUUGGGCACUCUGAAAGAACUGCCAGUGAUAAGCUGGAGGAAGGUGGGGAUGACGUCAAGUCCUCAUGGCCCUUACGUGUUGGGCUACACACGUGCUACAAUGGUAUCUACAACAGGAAGCAAGACGGCGACGUUAAGCAAAUCCUUAAAAGAUACCUCAGUUCGGAUUGCACUCUGCAACUCGAGUGCAUGAAGCUGGAAUUACUAGUAAUCGUGGAUCAGCGUGCCACGGUGAAUGCGUUCCCGGGUCUUGUACACACCGCCCGUCACACCAUGGGAGUUGGUUCUACCUUAAGGCAAGGUUUCAAACCCUUGACCACGGUAUAGUCAGCGACUGGGGUGAAGUCGUAACAAGGUAACC
This 1435-nucleotide ribosomal RNA is filed under the name uncultured marine bacterium. Its description in RNAcentral is "bacterial SSU rRNA". It matches the Rfam family "Bacterial small subunit ribosomal RNA". The record is from RNAcentral.